This 443-nucleotide ribosomal RNA is filed under the name uncultured bacterium. Its description in RNAcentral is "partial 16S ribosomal RNA". It matches the Rfam family "Bacterial small subunit ribosomal RNA", at positions 338 to 795 of the family's 1533-position model. The record is from RNAcentral.
CCUACGGGAGACAGCAGUGGGGAAUAUUGGGCAAUGGAGGAAACUCUGACCCAGCAACGCCGCGUGAAUGAUGAAGGUCUUCGGAUUGUAAAGUUCUUUUCUAAGGGAAGAAGAAAGUGACGGUACCUUAGGAAUAAGCCUCGGCUAACUACGUGCCAGCAGCCGCGGUAAUACGUAGGAGGCGAGCGUUAUCCGGAAUGACUGGGCGUAAAGGGUGCGUAGGUGGUUUGGCAAGUUAGUAGCGUAACUCCAAGGCUCAACCUUGGAACUACUACUAAAACUGUUGGACUUGAGUGCAGGAGGGGCAACCGGAAUUCCUAGUGUAGCGGUGAAAUGCAUAGAUAUCACGCAGAACUCCGAUUGCGAAGGCAGCAUACCGGCGCCCGACUGACGCUGAGGCACGAAAGCGUGGGUAUCGAACAGGAUUAGAUACCCGGGUAGUC